AGCAGUCGCCACGGUAAUACGAAGGGUGCAAGCGUUAAUCGGAAUUACUGGGCGUAAAGCGUGCGUAGGCGGUUUGUUAAGUCUGUUGUGAAAUCCUCGGGCUCGACCUGGGAAUGGCAAUGGAUACUGGCAAGCUAGAGUGUGUCAGAGGAUGGUGGAAUUCCCGGUGUAGCGGUGAAAUGCGUAGAGAUCGGGAGGAACAUCAGUGGCGAAGGCGGCCAUCUGGGACAACACUGACGCUGAGGCACGAAAGCGUGGGGAGCAAACAGGAUUAGAUACCCCUGUAGUCCCUGUCUCUUAUAC
Molecule: ribosomal RNA, 303 nt
Filed under: uncultured bacterium
Lineage: Bacteria
Description: partial 16S ribosomal RNA
Rfam family: Bacterial small subunit ribosomal RNA
Source: RNAcentral